UGGACACCCAUUUACAAUACACCACAUUCCAUCAUUUCACAAACACUAGCCCAUCGCCCAUCAUCCGUCUCGUGUUCUUGAGAGAAAGAGACCACAAACCCUAAAGAGGGGCGCCUUCCGCUUGAAUUCAUCAGUGACUGCGAUUCGAGUUCAGUAGGUCCAAAAAGAGAGGCGCCUCGCGUUCUUGAGACUGCGAUUCCGGACUUCCAGCUGUAAUCCAACUUCUCUCUGGGCUCUCUUUCUCUGGUGUGCGAUUGUGAUUCCAGACUUCCAACUGCAAUCCAACUUCUCUCUAGUAGAUUUUUUUUCUGUGAUGAUUAUUAUUAUUUUUUUUCUGGAUCAUGUGAUUUUUUUCAGUAAAUGUUGCUUUUAUUUGAAUUUUUUUUUAAAAAAAACAUAUAGAAAUUUGGAAGUGUGGAUGGGAAAUUUAUAUCUAUAGUUUAUGUGAUGAAAGUUAUGUUGUUUUUAUUUGAAUUUUUUUUUUAAAAAAAAACAUAUAGAAAUUUGGAAGUGUGGAUGGGAAAUUUAUAUCUAUAGUUUAUGUGAUGAAAGUUAUGUCUCUGCUAUGUAGUGCAUUUGUGAGUGCUGCCACAGUUUCUCUUGUAUUUUUUCCUCCUUUUUUUUUUUUUAUCAAUAUACAUAUAUUUAUCCUUGCCAAAAAAUUUAAAAUAAAAUAAUGUCAAAAAUAAAAUUUGUUUAUUUUUUCUAUUCUUUCCAAUACUCCACCUAAACAAAACUAAUAUGGAUAGUGGCUUCUCUUUAGUAAUUGACAUACAUCAUUAUAAUCUCUCCAAAAAAAAUUUAUGGGCUUGUCUAGUUCGAUUUUUUAAGUCUUAGUUUUCAAGAAAUUGAAAAUUAGAAAACAUUACAAAAAAUUGUUUCAUAGACAAUUUUCUAAGAACAAUUAAAAAAAAAAAAAAAAAAAAAAAAA
This is a long non-coding RNA of Cornus florida, 931 nucleotides long. RefSeq lists it as uncharacterized. The record is from RefSeq and is a predicted model, not a curated record. The transcript has 2 exons. NCBI's taxonomy places the organism in Eukaryota, Viridiplantae, Streptophyta, Magnoliopsida, Cornales, Cornaceae.